UCGUAAAUAUUUUUAUUAUUUUUAGAUUCGUAUGAUCAACAUGCUGAAAACUGGAACCCUUCUCGUUUUUGCUUUAGUGUGCAUCACUUAUGCAAGUGCAUUAGGAAACAUUUUGCAAUGCCAAGAUGUAGCACAGUUUAGUCCAUGCCCAGACGUGCUUAAGAAAACGAUUUGGACAUACAGAAAUAGUAGAGGUGAAUGCAAGCGAAAAACAGGUUGUUAUGCGGCGGGCAAGAACGUCUUUACAACAGAAUUGGCCUGCAAAAUUGGUUGUGGUCUUAAUUAAGGCAAUAUAAGUUGAAAUCAUCUGAAGAAUAUACGUUAAAAACAUCCAUAUACUUUUUAAAGCAAUUUCCGAAAUAUCUUCAAUGCAGCAUGUUUAUUUAUCUGUCAAUAAGACACUUGAUUUAACAUUUUUUGAGGUCAAGUUUACAAAUGUCUGCUUUCAACUAGUUGUUUCUCUUCAAUUAUUAUGAAAGUGGUAAUUUUUAUUGCAAUAAAAGAGUGCAAUUCUG
Long non-coding RNA from Ruditapes philippinarum (Manila clam), 515 nucleotides. RefSeq lists it as uncharacterized. The transcript has 2 exons. The record is from RefSeq and is a predicted model, not a curated record. Lineage: Eukaryota; Metazoa; Mollusca; Bivalvia; Venerida; Veneridae.